RNAcentral lists this ribosomal RNA (850 nucleotides) under uncultured bacterium. RNAcentral's name for it is "bacterial SSU rRNA". It matches the Rfam family "Bacterial small subunit ribosomal RNA", at positions 41 to 887 of the family's 1533-position model. The record is from RNAcentral.
ANUGCGCNCCUUNCAUGCAAGUCGAACGCGAAAGCGGGGCAACCCGCAAGUAGAGUGGCGAACGGGUGAGUAAUACAUCGGAACAUUUCCAGUAGCGGGGGAUAACCUGUCGAAAGAUAGGCUAAUACCGCAUACGAUCCACGGAUGAAAGCGGGGGACCGCAAGGCCUCGCACUAUUGGAGUGGCCGAUGUCGGAUUAGCUAGUUGGUGGGGUAAAAGCCUACCAAGGCGACGAUCCGUAGCUGGUCUGAGAGGACGAUCAGCCACACUGGAACUGAGACACGGUCCAGACUCCUACGGGAGGCAGCAGUGGGGAAUUUUGGACAAUGGGCGCAAGCCUGAUCCAGCCAUGCCGCGUGAGUGAAGAAGGCCUUCGGGUUGUAAAGCUCUUUCGGUGGAGACGAAACGGUCCGUGUUAAUAACACGGACUACUGACGGUACCCACAGAAGAAGCACCGGCUAACUACGUGCCAGAAGCCGCGGUAAUACGUAGGGUGCAGGCGUUAAUCGGAAUUACUGGGCGUAAAGCGUGCGCAGGCGGUCUGUUAAGACAGGUGUGAAAUCCCCGAGCUCAACUUGGGAAUUGCGCUUGUUACUGGCAGGCUAGAGUGUGGCAGAGGGGGGUGGAAUUCCACGUGUAGCAGUGAAAUGCGUAGAUAUGUGGAGGAACACCGAUGGCGAAGGCAGCCCCCUGGGUCAACACUGACGCUCAGGCACGAAAGCGUGGGGAGCAAACAGGAUUAGAUACCCUGGUAGUCCACGCCCUAAACUAUGUCAACUAGUUGUCGGGGAAGAAAUUCCUUGGUAACGAAGCUAACGCGUGAAGUUGACCGCCUGGGGGAGUACGGUC